ACGCUCGACACCUACGGGAAGCAGCAGUGGGGAAUAUUGCACAAUGGGGGAAACCCUGAUGCAGCGACGCCGCGUGGAGGAAGAAGGUCUUCGGAUUGUAAACUCCUGUCCCAGGGGACGAUAAUGACGGUACCCUGGGAGGAAGCACCGGCUAACUACGUGCCAGCAGCCGCGGUAAUCUGAGCGGGCUGGCAAGGC
RNAcentral lists this ribosomal RNA (198 nucleotides) under uncultured bacterium. Its description in RNAcentral is "partial 16S ribosomal RNA". It matches the Rfam family "Bacterial small subunit ribosomal RNA", at positions 326 to 539 of the family's 1533-position model. The record is from RNAcentral.